AUGAGUCGUCCUGAUGGCAUCAACAUUUCCGAUGGCAAGUUCUACCUAGGAGAUGUUGGCUAUGCAUGUAGGCCAUGUGUUCUUCCACCCUUUAGGAAAAUCAGGUACCAUCUGAACGAGUUCAUUGGUAGGAACUAUCCUAGAACUGCACAGGGGUUGUUUAAUCUCAGACAUUUCAGCCUUAGAGUUACUGUUUAGAGGGCAUUUGGAGCUCUAAAGAAACAAGUUUAAGAUCCUAAAUCAGAAGCCAUUCCCCGCUUUCUCCACUUAGUUUAGCUUGUGCUUGCCUGUUGUAUUAUGCAUAAUUGGAUCUUGCAAUGAGGUUGUGAUGAACUGAUGCCUCAGGAGGAAGAUUGA
This 357-nucleotide ribosomal RNA is filed under the name Triticum aestivum (bread wheat). RNAcentral describes it as "partial small subunit ribosomal RNA". The record is from RNAcentral. Lineage: Eukaryota; Viridiplantae; Streptophyta; Magnoliopsida; Poales; Poaceae.